GGGGGGACGCAGUAGGAUAGGCGAAGCGUACGAUUGGAUUGUACGUCCAAGCAGUGAGAUUGAGUGUUAGGCAAAUCCGGCACUCUUAAGAUUGAGCUGUGAUGGGGAGAGGAAAUUGUUUCCUCGAGUCGUUGAUUUCACACUGCCAAGAAAAGCCUCUAGCUAGAAUUGUGGUGCCCGUACCGCAAACCGACACAGGUAGUCAAGAUGAGAAUUCUAAGGUGAGCGAGCGAACUCUCGUUAAGGAACUCGGCAAAAUGACCCCGUAACUUCGGGAGAAGGGGUGCUCUUUAGGGUUAACGCCCAGGAGAGCCGCAGUGAAUAGGCCCAAGCGACUGUUUAUCAAAAACACAGGUCUCUGCUAAACCGUAAGGUGAUGUAUAGGGGCUGACGCCUGCCCGGUGCUGGAAGGUUAAGAGGAGUGGUUAGCUUCUGCGAAGCUACGAAUCGAAGCCCCAGUAAACGGCGGCCGUAACUAUAACGGUCCUAAGGUAGCGAAAUUCCUUGUCGGGUAAGUUCCGACCCGCACGAAAGGCGUAACGAUUUGGGCACUGUCUCAACGAGAGACUCGGUGAAAUCAUAGUACCUGUGAAGAUGCAGGUUACCCGCGACAGGACGGAAAGACCCCGUGGAGCUUUACUGUAGUCUGAUAUUGAAAUUCGGCACAGCUUGUACAGGAUAGGUAGGAGCCUGAGAUACGUGAGCGCUAGCUUACGUGGAGGCGUUGGUGGGAUACUACCCUCGCUGUGUUGGAUUUCUAACCCGCACCAUUUAUCAUGGUGGGAGACAGUGUCAGAUGGGCAGUUUGACUGGGGCGGUCGCCUCCUAAAGAGUAACGGAGGCGCUCAAAGGUUUCCUCAGAAUGGUUGGAAAUCAUUCAUAGAGUGUAAAGGCAUAAGGAAGCUUGACUGCGAGACUUACAAGUCGAGCAGGGUCGAAAGACGGACUUAGUGAUCCGGUGGUUCCGCAUGGAAGGGCCAUCGCUCAACGGAUAAAAGCUACCCCGGGGAUAACAGGCUUAUCUCCCCCAAGAGUUCACAUCGACGGGGAGGUUUGGCACCUCGAUGUCGGCUCAUCGCAUCCUGGGGCUGUAGUCGGUCCCAAGGGUUGGGCUGUUCGCCCAUUAAAGCGGUACGCGAGCUGGGUUCAGAACGUCGUGAGACAGUUCGGUCCCUAUCCGUCGUGGGCGUAGGAAAUUUGAGAGGAGCUGUCCUUAGUACGAGAGGACCGGGAUGGACAUACCUCUGGUGUACCAGUUGUCGUGCCAACGGCAUCGCUGGGUAGCUAUGUAUGGACGGGAUAAGUGCUGAAAGCAUCUAAGCAUGAAGCCCCCCUCAAGAUGAGAUUUCCCAACUUCGGUUAUAAGAUCCCUCAAAGAUGAUGAGGUUAAUAGGUUCGAGGUG
Molecule: ribosomal RNA, 1403 nt
Rfam family: Bacterial large subunit ribosomal RNA